UACGAAGGGGACUAGCGUUGUUCGGAAUUACUGGGCGUAAAGCGCGCGUAGGCGGGAGGCCAAGUCCGCUGUGAAAGCCCGGGGCUUAACCCCGGCGGGUCGGUGGAGACUGGUCUUCUUGAAGAUGCUAGGGGGAGAUGGAAUUAUCGGUGUAGCGGUGAAAUGCGUAGAGAUCGAUAGGAACACCAGUGGCGAAGGCGGUCUCCUGGGGCACUCUUGACGCUGAGGCGCGAAAGCUGGGGGAGCGAACGGG
Molecule: ribosomal RNA, 253 nt
Filed under: uncultured bacterium
Lineage: Bacteria
Description: partial 16S ribosomal RNA
Rfam family: Bacterial small subunit ribosomal RNA
Source: RNAcentral